CCUACGGGAGGCUGCAGUGGGGAAUAUUGCACAAUGGGGGAAACCCCGAUGCAGCGACGCCGCGUGAGUGAGGAAGUAUUUCUGUAUGUAAAGCUCUAUCAGCAGGGAAGAAAAUGACGGUACCUGCCUAAGCAGCCCCGGCUAACUACGUGCCAGCAGCCGCGGUACUACGUAGGGGGCAAGCGUUAUCCGGAUUUACUGGGUGUAAAGGGAGCGUAGACGGUUAAUCAAGUCAGAAGUGAAAACCCAGGGCUCAACCUUGGGACUGCUUUUGAAACUGAGGAGCUAGAGUGCAGGAGAGGUAAGCGGAAUUCCUAGUGUAGCGGUGAAAUGCGUAGAUAUUAGGAGGAACACCAGUGGCGAAGGCGGCUUACUGGACUGUAACUGACGUUGAGGCUCGAAAGCGUGGGGAGCAAACAGGAUUAGAUACCCUAGUAGUC
Molecule: ribosomal RNA, 440 nt
Filed under: uncultured bacterium
Lineage: Bacteria
Description: partial 16S ribosomal RNA
Rfam family: Bacterial small subunit ribosomal RNA
Source: RNAcentral